AGAUUAGCUUGCUUUAUUUGUCAGCUAAGUGGCGCACGGGUGAGUAAUGUAUAGAUAACCUGCCCUCUAGAAAGGAAUAACAGUUGGAAACGACUGCUAAUGCCCUAUAUGCCUUUAAUACAUAAGUAUGCAAGGGAAACGCUUUAGUGCUAGAGGAUGGGUCUGUAUGGUAUCAGCUAGUUGGUGAGGUAAUGGCUCACCAAGGCUAUGACGCCUAACUGGUUUGAGAGGAUGAUCAGUCACACUGGAACUGAGACACGGUCCAGACUCCUACGGGAGGCAGCAGUGGGGAAUAUUGCACAAUGGACGAAAGUCUGAUGCAGCAACGCCGCGUGGAGGAUGACACAUUUCGGUGCGUAAACUCCUUUUAUAUAGGAAGAUAAUGACGGUACUAUAUGAAUAAGCACCGGCUAACUCCGUGCCAGCAGCCGCGGUAAUACGGAGGGUGCAAGCGUUACUCGGAAUCACUGGGCGUAAAGAGCGUGUAGGCGGGUAUAUAAGUCAGAAGUGAAAUCCUAUAGCUUAACUAUAGAACUGCUUUUGAAACUGUAUACCUAGAAUGUGGGAGAGGUAGAUGGAAU
This 581-nucleotide ribosomal RNA is filed under the name uncultured Arcobacter sp. Its description in RNAcentral is "bacterial SSU rRNA". It matches the Rfam family "Bacterial small subunit ribosomal RNA", at positions 64 to 667 of the family's 1533-position model. Lineage: Bacteria; Pseudomonadati; Campylobacterota; Epsilonproteobacteria; Campylobacterales; Arcobacteraceae. The record is from RNAcentral.